Molecule: non-coding RNA, 1139 nt
Organism: Salvia hispanica
Lineage: Eukaryota; Viridiplantae; Streptophyta; Magnoliopsida; Lamiales; Lamiaceae
Source: RefSeq, a predicted model, not a curated record
UUUUUUGUGGGAAACAACAAGAGUUUCCGCCAAACUGGCUGAAGAGAUUUAUCUAUUUUAAUUUAUUUAUUUUAAAAAUUACAUGCUUCAAACCAAAGGUUAAUAAAUAACCUCUAAGAAUUGUUUCUUUUACCUGCUGAAUCCAGCAGCUAAUGGCAUGAACUCUAAAAAAAAGCAAAGUUGAUUAGCCUCUAUACUAACAAUCAAUCAAAUCGUUCUUACAUAAAGAAACUCUCUCAUGUUGAGCUUUGGUGGGAAUUCUCAAAUUGGGAUCCUCUCUAAUGCAAGGUUUUUGAGAGCCAAAACCAUUUUUUGAGAUAAAAAAAAGUUGAAAAUAACCCCCCAUGUUUUUCUAUAUAUAAACCACUUGCAUAGACAUAGAUUCAUACACAAUCAUUUUUUUUUCUUUCAUCUUUUUUCUACCGAUUAUUUCCUUCUCUCUAAAUCUUCUUUCUUUUUAUUAUUGAGCUAUUGAACGAUUAUAUUUUUGUAAAUAUUGCAAGUGAAUUUAUCGGCAUAAGAGGUGAAUUCAUCACCUAAAGAGUGGAAUUGAUCGCCAUGAGAAAUGAAAAGCUCUGUAAACUGGUUUUGCAAUCAUGAAUCUUCUACUAUCUACUUUUGCUUCCGAUUUAUAAAACUAAUCAUUUUUAUGCUUUUGCAGGUAUUGUAGGUUAAAUGAUACGAAUGACAGGAAAAGCAAUAUGAACUGGUUUGUUUACUUAAAUCUCAUAUUAUCUAAAUUUCUUCGGUUUUAUAUUUUGUUUGAUUAUUCUAUUAUUAGUUAAUUUAUUUAUUGUCAUGCUUUUACUUUUUUUUUCCUAUCUAUUACUCCACUUACAUAUUUCAUCCUACCUACAGUAUAAAAAUGAUAUUAUAUCUUAUAUUAACAAUUUAUAUUCUUCAGAGUUUUCCAGGUAGUUUGUUCUCACAGAAAGCUUCUUGGCAUCAUUUACAUGAUCGAAAAGAAGAGCAUCAUUUACACAGUUGUCUUUAAGCCAGCAGUCUGUAGAAAAAAAUUAUGAUUUAUUCAAUGAGUAGCAAAAUCUGCUGCUAGCCUGCUAUUAAAUUCUAUUUUAGAAUUUGUAUAUAUAUCACAACUGAAUGAACUAAUCAUAUUAUAUCCACUUACCCGCGUUGAG